This 610-nucleotide ribosomal RNA is filed under the name Cylinchus sp. 1 DA-2011. RNAcentral describes it as "partial 16S large subunit ribosomal RNA". It matches the Rfam family "Bacterial large subunit ribosomal RNA", at positions 1844 to 2735 of the family's 2925-position model. The record is from RNAcentral. Lineage: Eukaryota; Metazoa; Arthropoda; Insecta; Coleoptera; Scarabaeidae.
UUUAAAGUCUAACCUGCCCAAUGAUUGAUUUAAAUGGCCGCGGUAAUUUGACUGUGCAAAGGUAGCAUAAUCAUUAGUUUCUUAAUUGGGAGCUGGUAUGAAGGGUUGGACGAAAAAAACUCUGUCUCAUUGUAAUUUUAGUUAGAAGUUUAUAUUUAAGUAAGAAAGCUUAGAUUUAGUUGAAAGACGAGAAGACCCUAUAGAGUUUAAUAUUUAUUUUUUUAAUAUCUUUAGGUAUAAGUAUUUUAUUAAUUUAAUAAAUAUUUUGUUGGGGUGAUGGAAAAAUUAAUUGAACUUUUUUUUUAGUUAACAUUAAUUUAUGAGUAAAUGAUCCAGUAUUAGUGAUUAUAANAUUAAAUUACCUUAGGGAUAACAGCGUAAUUUUUUUUGAGAGUUNUAAUCGAAAAAANAGUUUGNGNCCUNGANGUNGGAUUAAAAUAAACUAUUGGNGUAGCCGCNGGGUAGUUGGGUCUGUUCGACCUUUAAAAUUUUACAUGAUCUGAGUUUAGACCGGUGUGAGCCAGGUUGGUUUCUAUNUUCAAUAAUAAAAAAUGUNUUAGUACGAAAGGACUUGAUAUUUAUAAUAGUUAUUAUGUUUUGAUUAUUAUUA